UUCGCGGCCUUAUCAGCUUGUUGGUGGGGUAAUGGCCUUCCAAGGCGACGACGGGUAGCCGGCCUGAGAGGGCGACCGGCCACACUGGGACUGAGACACGGCCCAGACUCCUACGGGAGGCAGCAGUGGGGAAUAUUGCACAAUGGGCGAAAGCCUGAUGCAGCGACGCCGCGUGAGGGAUGACGGCCUUCGGGUUGUAAACCUCUUUCAGCAGGGAAGAAGCGCAAGUGACGGUACCUGCAGAAGAAGCGCCGGCUAACUACGUGCCAGCAGCCGCGGUAAUACGUAGGGCGCAAGCGUUGUCCGGAAUUAUUGGGCGUAAAGAGCUCGUAGGCGGCUUGUCGCGUCGGAUGUGAAAGCCCGGGGCUUAACCCCGGGUCUGCAUUCGAUACGGGCAGGCUAUAGUUCGGUAGGGGAGAUCGUAAUUCCUGGUGUAUGGGUGAAAUGCGCAGAUAUCAGGAGGAACACCGGUGGCGAAGGCGGAUCUUUGGGCCGAUACUGACGCUGAGGAGCUAAAGCGUGGGGAGUGAACAGGAUUAGAUACCCUGGUAGUCCACGCCGUAAACGUUGGGAACUAGGUGUGGGCGACAUCCCCGUCUUCCGUGCCGCCGGUUACGUAUUAAGUUCCCCGCCUGGGGAGGUACGGGAAUU
This 651-nucleotide ribosomal RNA is filed under the name Streptomyces sp. IISRBP Act 42. Its description in RNAcentral is "bacterial SSU rRNA". It matches the Rfam family "Bacterial small subunit ribosomal RNA", at positions 230 to 890 of the family's 1533-position model. The record is from RNAcentral. Lineage: Bacteria; Bacillati; Actinomycetota; Actinomycetes; Kitasatosporales; Streptomycetaceae.